AUAAAAUUAAAAUCAAAUUCAACUAAAGCUUCAUAUGUUCAUUAUCUUUGAACUUUCAAAUUAAACCAUUACUGUUGUUCAAGAGAAAAAUUGACAAUGGGAAGCAUCUCAAUUCUUGUGAAGCAUUCUGAAGGGUGGACAUAUGAAAAAAGCUAUGAAGAGUACAUUACGGAUGCAAUAUUGUUGAGCACGACAUCAUCGUACAAUCAACUAUACAAUCUUUUGGUAUCUCACAUUAAUGUGGAUUUGAGCAGCAAAUGUAUCCAAAUUGAAUAUCGAAUCACUAGUAAUGCAGAGCAAAUAUAAAUACAUAAUGAUAUGGGUUUAAAUGUGUUUAUUGUGCAAAAGAAAGAGAUACAAGACAUGAAUUGUCUUCCUUUAUAUGUAAGCAUAUUGGACAAAGAUGUUGUGAGCACCUUUGCAAGUUCAUCUGUAUGUGCUGUUGAAAAAGAAAAUGUUUGUUACAAUUCACAUCAAGUGAUAAACACAUCUACUGAAAGUGCAUUGGUGGUUACUGAUAAUACAAAACCAUUAGAUGUAUUUGAGAUGGAUACAGUUCAGGUGAUUAUCUCAGACCCGCAUCAUAAGUAUGUUGAGGUAGACCAGGUAUACUUCUCGAAAAAAAAUUAAAGUUAGCCAUGAAGGAUUAUACAAUUAGAGAGAAGUUUCAAACACAAAGUGAAAGGUCAAGUAACACCUGGUCCAGACGCACGGGCUCCCAAGCACCCUUAGUAAAUUCAGAUUCUCAACAGACAGAGU
Capsicum annuum is the source of this 759-nucleotide long non-coding RNA. RefSeq lists it as uncharacterized. Lineage: Eukaryota; Viridiplantae; Streptophyta; Magnoliopsida; Solanales; Solanaceae. The transcript is spliced from 3 exons. The record is from RefSeq and is a predicted model, not a curated record.